Molecule: unclassified non-coding RNA, 391 nt
Filed under: soil metagenome
Description: partial contains 5.8S ribosomal RNA, internal transcribed spacer 2, and large subunit ribosomal RNA
Rfam family: 5.8S ribosomal RNA (bases 1-122)
Source: RNAcentral
GAUGAAGAACGUAGCGAAAUGCGAUACUUGGUGUGAAUUGCAGAAUCCCGUGAACCAUCGAGUCUUUGAACGCAAGUUGCGCCCGAAGCCACUAGGCCGAGGGCACGCCUGCCUGGGCGUCACACGCCGUUGCCCCCCCAUCUACUCCUUCGGGAUUGCGGGGGGGCGGAUGAUGGCCUCCCGUGCGCCUAGCCGCGCGGUUGGCAUAAAUACCAAGUCCUCGGCGACGCAUGCCACGACAAUCGGUGGUUGCGAAACCUCGGUUGCCCGUCGUGUGCGUUCGUCGCGCAUCGAGGGCUCGAAAAAAUGCUCGGCUCCGGCUGGGCUUUCAACGCGACCCCAGGUCAGGCGGGGUUACCCGCUGAAUUUAAGCAUAUCAAUAAGCGGAGGA